Drosophila pseudoobscura is the source of this 974-nucleotide long non-coding RNA. RefSeq lists it as uncharacterized. The transcript is spliced from 3 exons. The record is from RefSeq and is a predicted model, not a curated record. Lineage: Eukaryota; Metazoa; Arthropoda; Insecta; Diptera; Drosophilidae.
AUCGCGGAGGAACGGUGGGAUUUUUUGAUGGAUGUGAAACUCCGAUUCACACGGGCAUUAUCCACCAUCCGUCAAAAAUAGCUGAUGCCGACAAGUACACAAUAUUUUUGCGCGGAAGAUUUAUAAAUUUUUUUUUCUUAAAAUGGAUAAUGAAGACAAUUAUCUUGGUUGUGGUUCAACAGCAAAAUAUUUUCUUGCAUCAACUAAUAAUGUUGUUGCAAAUGAAUGAUGAUGAAGAUGAUGAAUUUAACUUUGACGAGGAUGAGAUGAUUUACUGGGCAUCUGCCCUAAAAAACAGAAGCCAGGAAGGUUGUGGUCGUUUGUGAGUACUUCUUCUACUAACUUCCACCAAAGUUUAAAGUGUAAGGACAUAUUGUAUGUUUUUACAAGCGGUUCGGGACAUUUUGGGAGAAAGAUGUACCUGAAAACAACGAGGAGUUUGUCAAAGAGAGUUUUCGAAUAGAGAGGCAGUGCUUUGAGAUUUUAGUGAAUCGGCUGCAAUUGCUUCGGAAGAAGGAUACAAACUGCCGAGCUGCAAUCGUAGCACAUCGCCAUUGCACUACACCCGUUGGGAUCGUCCUUUGAGUACAGAACAGUUGGCAGGCUUUUCGGUGUGGCUCCAAACGGUGUGUGCAAUAUCCUGAACGAGUUCUGCAGAGCACUUAUCGGCGAGUUUUUGGAGGAUUACAUUUCGCCCAAUUACCUAACAUCCGAAAAAAUUGCUGAGUUCGUGAAGGGAUUCCAGGCAAUUGGGUUUCCUCAGAGCCUAGGUGCAAUUGAUGGAUGCCACAUCGAAAUAAAACUACCAGCAGCUGAGGCAGUGGACCACCAUAACUAUAAGGGCUGUUAUUACACAGACUUGUUUGCCCUUUUGGAUUACAAAUACAGAUUUACAUAUGUAAAUAUCGGGUCCGCAGGAAGGUGCAAUGACUCGAUGAUAUACCAGAAGGCAAGCCUUGCAAAGCGUAUCGAAG